GACGAACGCUGGCGGCGUGCUUAACACAUGCAAGUCACGGGGGUCCGGGGGCAACUCUGGAUAACCGGCGAACGGGUGCGUAACACGUGACCAACCUGCCCUCGUGUGGGGGAUAGCCGGGCUAACGCCCGGGUAAUACCGCAUACGUUCUUUCGGGGGAGUCCCCGGAGGAGGAAAGCUCCGGCAACGGAGUGCACGGGGAGGGGGUCGCGGCCUAUCAGCUAGUUGGUGCGGUAACGGCGCACCAAGGCGACGACGGGUAGCUGGUCUGAGAGGAUGGCCAGCCACAUUGGGACUGAGAGACGGCCCAGACUCCUACGGGAGGCAGCAGU
This 332-nucleotide ribosomal RNA is filed under the name uncultured bacterium. RNAcentral describes it as "bacterial SSU rRNA". It matches the Rfam family "Bacterial small subunit ribosomal RNA", at positions 28 to 355 of the family's 1533-position model. The record is from RNAcentral.